GAAAAAAAGAAUUACUUGAUCUUAAAUCGCUACUGCUGACAAAUUCGGGAAUAUGAAGCAUAGAAGAAAUUUCACACAACUCAGCUACAGCCACUGCCAUGGGAUGUGACCAGGGCACGGCACUUCUGCAGAGCUCAGGCUCCCUCUCAUUUUGAAAACAUUUUCUCUAUUUUCUGUGUUCCUGAAAACAAAAGUUGCUGGAGACGCUAAGUACUUUGGUUACACGUACAACCUGUCGUGCAUCCCAGUCUCCAUUUCAACUCAGUCUUCAGUGACCACAGUACAACAAUUAGAUCCAUUAUCUGCAAGCAGACACAAGGUCUAGGUUUUCAGAAGUGACUAGAAAGAAGGAUUAAUGAGAUGUGUUGAUGGUACAGUCUUCAGGUACAGUCUUUUUAGAAAGUUCUGUGGAUCUUCUCUCCAAAAUCCAUUUGAAGUGCUUCAGGUAGAAGAAAGGAAAACGUGUUGUCUCUUGAAAAUCUUGGCUCAAGGAUUCAUCAGGAAAAUACUAUCAGAGCAGAGACCACAUGCUCCUUGGAUACCUGGCUGUUGUUUUAGCAGAUUGACAAAUAGACAUACUUUUGCAUGA
This 589-nucleotide long non-coding RNA is filed under the name Anas platyrhynchos platyrhynchos (common mallard). RNAcentral describes it as "lncRNA (ENSAPLG00000028190.1)". The record is from RNAcentral. Lineage: Eukaryota; Metazoa; Chordata; Aves; Anseriformes; Anatidae.